UAUAUUUACAUACAUAACCUCAAAUAGAACAGAAAGCCGAGAAUCAGAGCGUGCAAAAGGUGGUGUAAAUCUUCAAGUGCCGGCAAAAACAAAAAAAUGCUAGGCAAAGGGCAAUGCACAUAUGGUACAAGAGACUAGGAGCUAAAGGCUUAACAAACACUGCCCCGUAUAACAUAACCAUAGCCCAGUCAAUCCUGCCACUCCUACCUGCAAGUUAACUAGUCACAAGAAAAUGAGUAGGAAAGGCAACCAGAAGCACUUCCCCUUCUCCUACCCAGCGUCCUCUCCUCAGGAGAUCUACUGGUUUGUUAGGUAGUUAACUAAGACGAAUACCAUGCGUAAUCUGUUGUCCUUCUAUGAAAAAACUCAGAUCAACAUGGUUAUUUCUUCUCAGUAGGCAAUCUUUGGGAGUUGGAGUUCAAGAUCAUUUAUUUUACAGUAGGUUUACUCUUCGAGAGCACAACUUUAGCAACUUGCAUAAUGCUAUUCUUUUUUUUUUAUGUAUUUUCUCUAGAAGUUUAGAAUUACGGGGAAGGAUCUCGUAGAUGGUGAAGAGAAAACUGAAUAUGUUGCAGCAUUGCUAUAUAUUUUCAUCUAGUUUAUGAACUAUAUAUGAUUUUUGUGUAACUGGAAGUUCCUUGAUUUACUCCAGAAACUCACAAAUCAUAUUAAGAAUUUCUACGUUUUUACUUCAGCAUAAACCCCUUUGGAGUUUUUGUUAGAGAUUUUUUUAAAAAAAAUUAGAAGACUUGCAUGUCAUUUCAGAGACAGGAAUCAAUCAAAUUCCUUUCGAUCGAGGAACUCAUCAAUCAACACAGUUUCUUUGAUUCUUGUAGCAGCAUUUCGUUUUAGAACAAAACUAGCAACGCAAAAGAAAUUGAAGGAUUUGAAUAGGCUCAUAAAUUCACAUCUCUUCUUUUUUAGCAUCUCUGAUACGAUACUGCUAUACAGUCUACACGCAUGCACUCUUUCUCUGGCCAGGCAACACAAGACUGGGGAAUGUACCAGGCACUCGAUCUGGUAGCAUAAAAGUUGGACCAUGAUGUGACUUAUGAGGCUUGCAUCUAUCCUUGCUCCAUACUAAUUCGUGCAUGUGAGCAAAUGUAUGUCCAAUCCAAGCUCACAUCACCAGCUAGUGCAGCACGGGUCCGUGCAUGUGGUUUGUUGCCAACAAUUAAUCUAGAGAUGUAUACCAAUUUUAAUCUCCCCUUAUUGCUACCAUGAUGGCUAAAGGGUCUUGCAUUAAUACUCAGUUAUCAUUCGGUGCAAAUUGAAGGGAUGGUAAUACUCUCGAAAAGAAAAGAGAUGGGAAACUAGCACUGUAAUAUUUCAUCAUAUAUAUAGCUCGCACACAUGCAUAGCACAAAGUGAAGGUGUACUAGCAAUGAACUGUUGAAAACCGAA
Molecule: long non-coding RNA, 1404 nt
Organism: Brachypodium distachyon (stiff brome)
Lineage: Eukaryota; Viridiplantae; Streptophyta; Magnoliopsida; Poales; Poaceae
Exons: 2
Source: RefSeq, a predicted model, not a curated record